GAUGAAGAACGUAGCGAAAUGCGAUAAGUAAUGUGAAUUGCAGAAUUCAGUGAAUCAUCGAAUCUUUGAACGCACCUUGCGCCCUUUGGCCAUUCCGAAGGGCAUGCCUGUUUGAGUAUCAUGAACACCUCAACUCUUCAUGGUUUUCCAUGAUGAGCUUGGACUUUGGGGGUCUUGCUGGCCUGUGGGUCGGCUCCUCUCAAAUGAAUCAGCUUGCCAGUUUUUGGUGGGCAUCACAGGUGUGAUAACUAUCUACGCUUGUGGUUUUCCACCAGGGUAACCUUCAGCAGUGGAGGUUCACUGGAGCUUACAAGUGUCUCUCCUCUGUGAGGACAGCCCUUUGAAUGUUUGAUCUCAAAUCAGGUAGGACUACCCGCUGAACUUAAGCAUAUCAAUAAGCGGAGGA
Molecule: unclassified non-coding RNA, 406 nt
Filed under: soil metagenome
Description: partial contains 5.8S ribosomal RNA, internal transcribed spacer 2, and large subunit ribosomal RNA
Rfam family: 5.8S ribosomal RNA (bases 1-121)
Source: RNAcentral